UACGGGGGGGGCAAGCGUUGUUCGGAAUUACUGGGCGUAAAGGGCUCGUAGGUGGCCAACUAAGUCAGACGUGAAAUCCCUCGGCUUAACCGGGGAACUGCGUCUGAUACUGGAUGGCUUGAGUUCGGGAGAGGGAUGCGGAAUUCCAGGUGUAGCGGUGAAAUGCGUAGAUAUCUAGAGGAACACCGGUGGCGAAGGCGGCAUCCUGGACCGACACUGACGCUGAUGAGCGAAAGCCAGGGGAGCAAACGGG
RNAcentral lists this ribosomal RNA (253 nucleotides) under uncultured bacterium. RNAcentral describes it as "partial 16S ribosomal RNA". It matches the Rfam family "Bacterial small subunit ribosomal RNA", at positions 524 to 776 of the family's 1533-position model. The record is from RNAcentral.